GAUGGAUGAGGAAGGGCCAAAGGUUGGACCAACAAAGCCAGCUGCAUGCCGGAUGUUGUCAGAAGAUCAACAGUGCAUGGGAUCUGAUUGAUUGUGCACCUCAUGUAGCGUGGACUGCAAUUCCCAGUGUCUCUAACAAUAUAAUCACUUGUAGCAGGCGGAGGGGGGUUAGCUUGAUUUCCCUGACGAGUAUCAUGCAGGAUAACAGAGGAACCUGGUACAGGUCGUGGAAUUUGAUUGGGAUCAAUCUUUGAUGAUCCUGCCAAAGAACCUCCUGUUUGUCCAACAACAGGAGAUAUAGCAGUCGUUUGAUUUGGUAAUGGUGGGGGUGGUGGCAUUCCAAACAUUGUGGGAGGUUGUGCAGAACCAGGAAUUGGAGUUGGAGCCACUGGCUGGGUUUUCAUCUGUUUAAAAGGAAAACCUACAGGUGGUGACAUCGCUUGAGGUGGUGCAGAAAAUGAUGGCAUUCCUUGCAGUGGUGCUGAAGAUGAUGGUGUCCCUUGAUGUGCUGCUGAAAAUGGAGGCCGUUGUUGAGCACUGAUCCCAGAACUCCCCAUUAAGGGACGCAUGCUUGGUGCUUGAGGAGGUACCCGAGCUCCCCCAAUUGUCAGAGGACCCAUCAGUGGUUGCUGUGGUGCACUGCCAGAUGGAGGAAACCGUGGCCCUCCAAGGAAAGGUGGUGCAGGUGGCCCGUUACUGACUAAACCACCCGUUGAGACUGAAGGGGGUACAGAUGAAGGUGUAGUGGAAGAUGCAA
RNAcentral lists this unclassified non-coding RNA (757 nucleotides) under Hevea brasiliensis (rubber tree). Lineage: Eukaryota; Viridiplantae; Streptophyta; Magnoliopsida; Malpighiales; Euphorbiaceae. The record is from RNAcentral.